UUUUGGUAGCGUUGGUUUGUUUGUUUGUCUGUCUGUUAGCAACUUUACUGAGAAAUUUACAGACGGAUUGAUCUGAAAUUUUCACCAGAAGUGCGUCUCAGCCCCAGGAGGAUCCCAUUACCUUUUGGUGGUGAUCCGGACAAAAUUCUGGAUACUGUGAUCCAGAACACACAAAAAUAAGGGUGUCGCUGGAAUUUUCAAUGCUGAAAGAAAACCAAUGGGCGGCACAGUGGUGUAGAUAGGCGGCACAGUGGUGUAGUGGUUAGCACUGUCACCUCACAGCAAGAAGGUCCUGGGUUCGAAUCCUGGUCAGGGCAUUUCUGUGUGGAGUUUGCAUGUUCUCCCUGUGUCUGCUUGGGUUUACUCCCACAUCCCAAAAACAUGCCUCAGUGGGGUUAGGUUAAUUGGUCACUUCCAAAUUGCCCAUAGAUGUGAAUGUGAGUGUGGAUGGUUGUUCCUCUCUAUAUGUCAGCCCUGCGAUGAACUGGCGACUUGUCCAGGGUGUCCCCUGCCUUUGUCCGAAGAUGCUGGGAUAGGCUCCAGCCCCCCACGACCCCGGGAACGGGAAUAAGCAGUAGAAAAUGAAAAUGGAAAGAUAACCAAUGAAGAUACAAG
This is a non-coding RNA of Xyrichtys novacula (pearly razorfish), 615 nucleotides long. Lineage: Eukaryota; Metazoa; Chordata; Actinopteri; Labriformes; Labridae. The record is from the annotation of a GenBank genome assembly.